This 238-nucleotide long non-coding RNA is filed under the name Sorghum bicolor (sorghum). Its description in RNAcentral is "long non-coding RNA (SBIC_LNC018018)". Lineage: Eukaryota; Viridiplantae; Streptophyta; Magnoliopsida; Poales; Poaceae. The record is from RNAcentral.
UUCUAGAUUUGGUAUGUCGAGAAGCUAUUUUUUUAGAAAAGUCAAUAGCCUAAAGCCAACAAACAGUAGACAAAACUUAGAAAGCUAUCGAUUAUAUUAAAAAAACAACUCUUGUAUUUGGAAGAAACUAAACAAGGCCGUACAUACAGUGAAAUACAAGAGUGUCAAAUCAAAUUUGUAAUGUAGGCUUAAUUUUAUGGGUUGCCGCUACAUGCCAUAGACAUAUUUUUUCUUAUAC